GGUGGGCGUGGCUACAUGCAGCUUAGCCACGCCCCUCGAGGGGUUGUCUCGCUACAAAGAACAGCAGGAAUCCCUCUCUCAGAAAAAUGGUGGUGCAUAAAACUGGCACGUGACUGCCUUGGUGCUUGGUAUUAGAUAAGAUCACGAUGAAGGGCUUCUUUUUUUUUUUUUGGACAUUCUGUAUUUUUUUUUCCUCUCUUCCAUUUUGUUCGUGAAUAUCACAUCGUGUAAAAUGUCUAAAAGGUGAAGCAGCGGAAGUACUGGUUGUUGACGGCGGACUGAAGUUGUUUUUUUUUUUUACACGGAUGGACAUUUCUAUGGAUAGUCACGAUUUCAGCUUGCUCGGCACGAUCAGUGAGGAUUGGAUACUCUCCAGCCCUUGCAAAUUUUUAUCAGGUCAUGCAACAAAAGUCUCCGCGUGCGCCAGACUCUCCUGUCAGCUGCUGGAACUAACGGGAUCAUCAGUGUGGUCACCUGACCUGCUCUCUCCCAUCCUGCACUGCGGCGUGUUGAUCACUGAUGUGACAUUAUGAUAUCAAAUGUCGCUCUCGGCCGACAGGAGGCUGCCUCGCUCCUUGGACAUAUUCCAGCACGUGAUUUUAGUGCCUUGCUUUAUAACUUUUUUAAUUAUCUUAGACUGAUGUUUAAAUGCCUAAUUUAUUCACAGCUCGCUCAAUGCCGUCUUUCUGAAGAAAAGAAAUGUGGGAUUGACUGUUUUA
Pomacea canaliculata is the source of this 719-nucleotide long non-coding RNA. RefSeq lists it as uncharacterized. The transcript has 2 exons. NCBI's taxonomy places the organism in Eukaryota, Metazoa, Mollusca, Gastropoda, Architaenioglossa, Ampullariidae. The record is from RefSeq and is a predicted model, not a curated record.